Molecule: ribosomal RNA, 497 nt
Filed under: uncultured bacterium
Lineage: Bacteria
Description: partial 16S ribosomal RNA
Rfam family: Bacterial small subunit ribosomal RNA
Source: RNAcentral
GAUGAACGCUGGCGGCGUGCCUAAUACAUGCAAGUCGAGCGAACAGACGAGGAGCUUGCUCCUCUGACGUUAGCGGCGGACGGGUGAGUAACACGUGGAUAACCUACCUAUAAGACUGGGAUAACUUCGGGAAACCGGAGCUAAUACCGGAUAAUAUAUUGAACCGCAUGGUUCAAUAGUGAAAGACGGUUUUGCUGUCACUUAUAGAUGGAUCCGCGCCGCAUUAGCUAGUUGGUAAGGUAACAGCUUACCAAGGCAACGAUGCGUAGCCGACCUGAGAGGGUGAUCGGCCACACUGGAACUGAGACACGGUCCAGACUACUACGGGAGGAAGCAGUAGGGAAUCUUCCGCAAUGGGCGAAAGCCUGACGGAGCAGCGCCGCGUGAGUGAUGAAGGUCUUCGGAUCGUAAAACUCUGUUAUUAGGGAAGAACAAAUGUGUAAGUAACUAUGCACGUCUUGACGGUACCUAAUCAGAAAGCCACGGCUAACUACGUG